AUACGGAGGACGCGAGCGUUAUCCGGAUUCAUUGGGUUUAAAGGGUGCGCAGGCGGCCGUGCAAGUCAGCGGUGAAAGCCCGGGGCUCAACCCCGGAAGUGCCGUUGAUACUGCAUGGCUGGAAUGCGGUCGAGGCGGGCGGAACGGGGGGUGUAGCGGGGAAAUGCGUAGAUAUGCCACAGAACGCCGAUAGCGGAGGCAGCGCGCCAGGCCUGCAUUGACGCGCGGGCACGAAAGCGUGGGGAUCGAACAGGAUUAGAUACCCUGGUAGUCCACGCCGUAAACGAUGGGCGCUCGUCGUCGGCGGCAGACAGUCGGCGGCCAAGCGAAAGCGAUAAGCGCCCCACCUGGGGAGUACGGUCGCAAGGCUGAAACUCAAAUGAAUUGGCGGGG
This 393-nucleotide ribosomal RNA is filed under the name uncultured bacterium. Its description in RNAcentral is "partial 16S ribosomal RNA". It matches the Rfam family "Bacterial small subunit ribosomal RNA", at positions 523 to 918 of the family's 1533-position model. The record is from RNAcentral.